RNAcentral lists this transfer RNA (74 nucleotides) under Phaeodactylibacter sp. RNAcentral describes it as "tRNA-Gly". It matches the Rfam family "tRNA". From Rfam's summary of the family: Transfer RNA (tRNA) molecules are approximately 80 nucleotides in length. Their secondary structure includes four short double-helical elements and three loops (D, anti-codon, and T loops). Lineage: Bacteria; Pseudomonadati; Bacteroidota; Saprospiria; Saprospirales; Haliscomenobacteraceae. The record is from RNAcentral.
GCGAGCAUAGCUUAAUGGUAGAGUUCCUGACUUCCAAUCAGGGUAUGUCAGUUCGAUUCUGACUGUUCGCUCCA